UGAACAAAAUUCCUAGCACCUAAAAUUAACAGAAAAAUUUAUAUUUUAUCUUUAGUUUCUUUUGUUUCCAAGUAUCAUUAAAAUGAAUUCUGAACGUUCACUGAAAAGUGUAUCGAAGCCGUCUUUAAUCAAAGCAGUUUCCCAGGAGCAAAAGUCCGUGCAGUUUUCUUCGGUCCCGACCAUAAAAAAGAGUGCCUAAAACGGAAAUCCGGACGAUCUCGGACCUCAAGCCGUCACAUCACACAAAGAGACUGGCAGUUCAACUGCUUUUUCCAGUCUGUAGAACAAAAUGAAUGCGAUGUCAAAGGACCGGCAAAGCUAGACACCGUUUAGAUUAAGUGAUCUAAGAAGACAGCCUCGAAAUUUAAGAAUUGUCUAUACACAAACACACACGUCCCAAAUUUUUGUACAACAUUUGUAUACACCUGGACCUCUAAUUAUUAAGACAAUUGCUGAUUGAAACGUUA
Scaptodrosophila lebanonensis is the source of this 467-nucleotide long non-coding RNA. RefSeq lists it as uncharacterized. The transcript is spliced from 2 exons. NCBI's taxonomy places the organism in Eukaryota, Metazoa, Arthropoda, Insecta, Diptera, Drosophilidae. The record is from RefSeq and is a predicted model, not a curated record.